Molecule: long non-coding RNA, 1114 nt
Organism: Daphnia pulex (common water flea)
Lineage: Eukaryota; Metazoa; Arthropoda; Branchiopoda; Diplostraca; Daphniidae
Exons: 6
Source: RefSeq, a predicted model, not a curated record
AUCAUACGUUGUAACUGUCAAGGCGACAGACGUGUGGGAAUUUGAUUGCCAAUUGUGCUCAAGUUUUCAUCUGCUACUCUGAUUGUGAUUUGUAAUUCUACACAUAGUUUGACCCGUCGAUCCUAACAACAACAUAAGUUUCGUAUCAACAACUAAUAACAUUUAUUUGAUAGUUGAUGGGGACCUGUUACACAUAUCUUGGAUUUCAGCUCUCCACAGUUAUCUUAUUCUCUUCCUGCCCAUGCCAAUGGUUUGAUGUCAAAAUUACUAAUGAAACCUGUGAAUCCAUGUAUAUGUGGAUGUCAUGUGCUGGUGUAUAUAAGUGUGCAGAGUCAUGUGCACUGAUGUGUCGACGAUGGGAGAUGUUGUACAGUCUCUCAGCUUUCCCAGUGUUGAGUAGUGUCAGCUCGACUCUGGAGGACUUGGUGAAACAACACCAACAACACAAAUUGUUAACUAAGGCAGCUGAUUCUUCUCCCUUUUGAUUAUGGAUAAUUGGAAAUCUUUACAAGUUGCUGGUUUCCAGAAAAUUUUAAAUAUUAUUAAAAAUACCCGACAAUAGAACUCCAGUGCCCGACAGCAGAACACCACUACCUACCGUAAACUAUUUUGUUCAAAAUCAUUGUGUUCUACUGAAUGUACCAUCGAAAUGAUACAGGAUUCAUGUUAAUUAUCAGCUGUUAUUUGUAUUGGACUUGCUAGAUCACCAACCACAACAUGAACCAAUCCAUCAUUCCUAAUUCUUUAGAGAACCUUGGAUAGCUGAUCGGCGGUUUCAUGUGUUCGUCUAAAUUACGGAUUUCUAAAUUGGCAUGGCAGACUUUAUGAGAAGUCAUUUCCUUUCAACAACAAAAAGGACAACAACAAAGUUCCUUGUUUGCUAACUGUCGGCUGCUACCCAUUUACUUCUUUACAAGGGCCCUCGUCUUCAUUUUAGGGUAAUCCUACCAGUAAUCCUUCGAUACUUGUCAUGGACUUUAUCCAGUGGUGAAAAUCAACAAGAGAAUGCUGUAAUUCAAGAGUGAUAAAUUGUGUAGUUAGCUAAAUUACAAGUGCAUAUCUGGGCUUCCUUCUUUUCUAUGGCCCCGUUUCCCUAACUAACCACUAACCAACG